This 913-nucleotide ribosomal RNA is filed under the name Emericellopsis microspora. Its description in RNAcentral is "LSU rRNA". It matches the Rfam family "Eukaryotic large subunit ribosomal RNA", at positions 38 to 980 of the family's 3401-position model. The record is from RNAcentral. Lineage: Eukaryota; Fungi; Ascomycota; Sordariomycetes; Hypocreales; Bionectriaceae.
GCAUAUCAAUAAGCGGAGGAAAAGAAACCAACAGGGAUUGCCCCAGUAACGGCGAGUGAAGCGGCAACAGCUCAAAUUUGAAAUCUGGCCUCGUGCCCGAGUUAGUAAAUUUGUAGAGGAUGCUUUUGGCGACGCGCCUUCCGAGUUCCCUGGAACGGGACGCCAUAGAGGGUGAGAGCCCCGUCCGGUCGUGCGCCUAGCCUCUGUAAAGCUCCUUCGACGAGUCGAGUAGUUUGGGAAUGCUGCUCUAAAUGGGAGGUAUACGUCUUCUAAAGCUAAAUACCGGCCAGAGACCGAUAGCGCACAAGUAGAGUGAUCGAAAGAUGAAAAGCACUUUGAAAAGAGGGUUAAAUAGUACGUGAAAUUGCUGAAAGGGAAGCGCUUAUGACCAGACUUGGGCGCGGCGGAUCAUCCGGCGUUCUCGCCGGUGCACUCCACCGCCCCAGGCCAGCAUCAGUUCGCGCCGGGGGAUAAAGGCUUCGGGAAUGUGGCUCUCUCGGGAGUGUUAUAGCCCGCUGCGUAAUACCCUGGCGCGGACUGAGGUCCGCGCUCUGCAAGGAUGCUGGCGUAAUGGUCAUCAGUGACCCGUCUUGAAACACGGACCAAGGAGUCGUCUUCGUAUGCGAGUGUUCGGGUGUCAAACCCCUACGCGGAAUGAAAGUGAACGUAGGAGAGAGCUUCGGCGCAUCUCCGACCGAUCCUGAUGUUCUCGGAUGGAUUUGAGUAAGAGCAUACGGGGCCGGACCCGAAAGAAGGUGAACUAUGCCUGUGUAGGGUGAAGCCAGAAGGAAACUUCUUGGUGGAGGCUCGCAGCGGUUCUGACGUGCAAAUCGAUCGUCAAACAUGGGCAUGGGGGCGAAAGACUAAUCGAACCUUCUAGUAGCUGGUUUCCGCCGAAGUUUCCCUCAGGAAA